This 393-nucleotide ribosomal RNA is filed under the name uncultured bacterium. RNAcentral's name for it is "partial 16S ribosomal RNA". It matches the Rfam family "Bacterial small subunit ribosomal RNA", at positions 523 to 918 of the family's 1533-position model. The record is from RNAcentral.
AUACGGAGGAUCCGAGCGUUAUCCGGAUUUAUUGGGUCUAAAGGGAGCGUAGGUGGAUAGUUAAGUCAGUUGUGAAAGUUUGCGGCUCAACCGUAAAAUUGCAGUUGAUACUGGCUGUCUUGAGUACAGUAGAGGUGGGCGGAAUUCGUGGUGUAGGGGUGAAAUGCUUAGAUAUCACGAAGAACUCCGAUUGCGAAGGCAGCUCACUAGACUGUUACUGACACUGAUGCUCGAAAGUGUGGGUAUCAAACAGGAUUAGAUACCCUGGUAGUCCACACAGUAAACGAUGAAUACUCGCUGUUUGCGAUAUACAGUAAGCGGCCAAGCGAAAGCAUUAAGUAUUCCACCUGGGGAGUACGCCGGCAACGGUGAAACUCAAAUGAAUUGGCGGGG